This 104-nucleotide ribosomal RNA is filed under the name Encephalitozoon intestinalis. Its description in RNAcentral is "partial small subunit ribosomal RNA". It matches the Rfam family "Microsporidia small subunit ribosomal RNA", at positions 1208 to 1311 of the family's 1311-position model. Lineage: Eukaryota; Fungi; Microsporidia; Unikaryonidae. The record is from RNAcentral.
AAGAUGACGCAGUGGACGAAGAUUGGAAGGUCUGAGUCCUUCGUGUUAGAUAAGAUAUAAGUCGUAACAUGGCUGCUGUUGGAGAACCAGCAGCAGGAUCAGUA